CACAGGCAUCCGGAACCCGGAAGCAGCAUGCAGCAAGCACCAAUCACAGGCCAGUUGACAAUGUUUACGUCCAUCAGCUGGUGAUGGCGGCGAACACCUCUGACCAAGGGGCAGGGCUUGUAGUCAGUUUGCAACGCAAUCGCUGUUCAGGGGCGAGUGUGACAUGCGUCUGGAGCACCCCAGACCUGGUGUUGAACCGAUGCCGCACAGCCUAGUACCCUGGACACUGAACCGAUGCCGCAGCACAGCCUAGUACCCUGGACACUGGCUCCUUAUCCCCAUGAAACAGUUCACUGUGUCACCAAUCGACACCUAUGUAUGAUAAAUGCUUCACUUAACAGCCAGUAAUGUACUUUGUAUUAGUCACUCUGUGUUCCCAGAACACUGUAACCUUGGUAACAGUUCUGUCAUUAUGUCAACAUCAUGGAACCCUGAAAUUUAUCACAUUGACAGUACAUGUUCACAUCUAAAUUUCACAGAAAACAUAAUCAAUGGUUUUGGUUACCAUGGUUUCAGAGCAUUAAUAUAUCUAGAGCAAUGUGACAUCAUCUUUGUUUAUUUGGCAGGUAGUUAGUUGUGCUCAUUGUGUUGGAUAUUGUUGCAGACGCUGACUGAGAUGACAGUGCCUCCACUGACACAGCCAUUGAGAGGGAAGAUUGUGCAGGAAAUGGACCUCCAGAGAAGAUUCACCCAGGUAGCUUAUCAUAAACCAAACGUAAAACAUAUGGAGUUCCCCAUGG
Haliotis rubra (blacklip abalone) is the source of this 740-nucleotide long non-coding RNA. RefSeq lists it as uncharacterized. The transcript is spliced from 3 exons. The record is from RefSeq and is a predicted model, not a curated record. NCBI's taxonomy places the organism in Eukaryota, Metazoa, Mollusca, Gastropoda, Lepetellida, Haliotidae.